GUGUCAGCCGCCGCGGUAAAACGUAGGUGGCGAGCGUUAUCCGGAUUCACUGGGCGUAAAGGGCACGCAGGCGGCUCGGCAGGUAGGGCAUGAAAUCUCCCGGCUUAACUGGGAGGGGCUGUCCUAAACCGCUGGGCUUGAGGGCGGGAGAGGGAAGUGGAAUUGCCGGUGUAGUGGUGAAAUGCGUAGAGAUCGGCAGGAACACCAGUGGCGAAGGCGACUUCCUGGUCCGCCCCUGACGCUCAUGUGCGAAAGCUAGGGUAGCGAACGGGAUUAGAUACCCUUGUAGUCC
This 292-nucleotide ribosomal RNA is filed under the name uncultured bacterium. Its description in RNAcentral is "partial 16S ribosomal RNA". It matches the Rfam family "Bacterial small subunit ribosomal RNA", at positions 505 to 796 of the family's 1533-position model. The record is from RNAcentral.